GUCGAGAAUCUUCCGCAAUGCGCGAAAGCGUGACGGAGCGACACCGCGUGAUGGAUGAAGUCCUUCGGGGCGUAAACAUCUUUUAUAAAGGAGGAAAUUUUUGACGUUACUUUAUGAAUAAGGGGCUCCCAAUCUCGUGCCAGCAGGAGCGGUAAUACGAGAGCCUCAAGCGUUAUCCGGAAUCAUUGGGCGUAAAGGGUGCGUAGGUGGUUUGAUUAGUCUCCCGUUAAAACUUCGAGCUUAACUCGAAAAGAGCGGGGGAAACGGUCAAACUAGAGUAUGUGAGAGGUUUGUGGAACUCAUGGUGUAGGGGUGAAAGCCGUUGAUAUCAUGGGGAACACCAAAAGCGAAGGCAGCACACUGGCACAUCACUGACACUGAGGCACGAAACCUAAGGUAGCGAAUGGGAUUAGAUACCCGAGUAGUCC
RNAcentral lists this ribosomal RNA (428 nucleotides) under uncultured bacterium. RNAcentral describes it as "partial 16S ribosomal RNA". It matches the Rfam family "Bacterial small subunit ribosomal RNA", at positions 354 to 796 of the family's 1533-position model. The record is from RNAcentral.